Molecule: ribosomal RNA, 1096 nt
Filed under: Bacillus sp. (in: firmicutes)
Lineage: Bacteria; Bacillati; Bacillota; Bacilli; Caryophanales; Bacillaceae
Description: bacterial SSU rRNA
Source: RNAcentral
GCAAGUCGAGCGGACCGACGGGAGCUUGCUCCCUUAGGUCAGCGGCGGACGGGUGAGUAACACGUGGGUAACCUGCCUGUAAGACUGGGAUAACUCCGGGAAACCGGGGCUAAUACCGGAUGCUUGAUUGAACCGCAUGGUUCAAUCAUAAAAGGUGGCUUUUAGCUACCACUURCAGAUGGACCCGCGGCGCAUUAGCUAGUUGGUGAGGUAACGGCUCACCAAGGCGACGAUGCGUAGCCGACCUGAGAGGGUGAUCGGCCACACUGGGACUGAGACACGGCCCAGACUCCUACGGGAGGCAGCAGUAGGGAAUCUUCCGCAAUGGACGAAAGUCUGACGGAGCAACGCCGCGUGAGUGAUGAAGGUUUUCGGAUCGUAAAACUCUGUUGUUAGGGAAGAACAAGUACCGUUCGAAUAGGGCGGYACCUUGACGGUACCUAACCAGAAAGCCACGGCUAACUACGUGCCAGCAGCCGCGGUAAUACGUAGGUGGCAAGCGUUGUCCGGAAUUAUUGGGCGUAAAGCGCGCGCAGGCGGUUUCUUAAGUCUGAUGUGAAAGCCCCCGGCUCAACCGGGGAGGGUCAUUGGAAACUGGGGAACUUGAGUGCAGAAGAGGAGAGUGGAAUUCCACGUGUAGCGGUGAAAUGCGUAGAGAUGUGGAGGAACACCAGUGGCGAAGGCGACUCUCUGGUCUGUAACUGACGCUGAGGCGCGAAAGCGUGGGGAGCGAACAGGAUUAGAUACCCUGGUAGUCCACGCCGUAAACGAUGAGUGCUAAGUGUUAGAGGGUUUCCGCCCUUUAGUGCUGCAGCAAACGCAUUAAGCACUCCGCCUGGGGAGUACGGUCGCAAGACUGAAACUCAAAGGAAUUGACGGGGGCCCGCACAAGCGGUGGAGCAUGUGGUUUAAUUCGAAGCAACGCGAAGAACCUUACCAGGUCUUGACAUCCUCUGACAACCCUAGAGAUAGGGCUUCCCCUUCGGGGGCAGAGUGACAGGUGGUGCAUGGUUGUCGUCAGCUCGUGUCGUGAGAUGUUGGGUUAAGUCCCGCAACSAGCGCAACCCUUGAUCUUAGUUGCCAGCAUUCAGUUGGG